UUGCCUUGUGACCUUUGAGAAGUUAUUUAUCCUUUCUUUGCCUCAAUUUCUCCUUCUAUAAAAUGUUAAUUCUAGCAGUCUUUAUCUACUGGGAUUACUAUGGAAUUAAAUGAACUCAUACAAGUAGAUGAGGAACAUUUAUAAUAGCAUUAUGUAAUGAAAUUGUUCAAUAAGCUUUGGCCAAUAUUAGUCAUUGUUAUGGUGAGUGUUCUUACAUAGCUCCUGAAUAUAUCAUUUCAUCAUACUGAACACGAGUGACAGCACAUAUGCCAUGGAACCUGCAAUAUUGCCUCUUUAUAUCUGAAGAAUUGCCAGGCUAAAAUCAGGUAACCUUCUAGGGAAUAUGAAAUUAUUGAUGCCUCUAGUGCAAGUCUACAAAUUUUCUUCAUAUUCUGAUAGUAUUUUAGGACAUUUUCAUGGAAAACACACAAACACACUGUAAGCUCUUGGUGUAAGUCAAACAUUCUUUUAAACAUUUUACAUAUAUAAUUUCUCCUCACAACAAUUUUAUAAGUACAAUUAUUAUUUUUAUUUUAAGAUGAUUAAUUUGAGGUCAUAUGAGUUAACAUCGGUUAAGAUCUAAUAAUAUUAAGUGAUUUAGCCAGGGUUUGCCCUCAAGUCUGAUUCCAAAUUAAUGCUCAUAACCGUUAUACUGUGUUAAGUAAACAGGACAGAUGUCCAAGGGAGGUGAUGAUGGCCAAGAGCUACCCAUUAUACUCCCUUUUAGCUCAUUUUCUGUUGCUUCAACAGAUACCUGAGAAUAAGCAAUUAUAAAGAAAAAUGCUUUAUUUAGCUUGCAGUUCUUGAGAUCCAAGAGCAUGGCACUGGCAUUUGUGUGGAUGCUGGUGAUGACUUCAUGCUGCAACAACUUAUGGCUGAAAUUUGGAGGGCAAAAUGGGUGCAUGAGGAAGAGCACAUCUGUGUGAGGAACAAAUGGAAGCAUCAUACAGGCUUCACAAAAUCCACUUUGGUGGUUACCAUCAAGUCUCUCAUGGACUGCAUUAAUUCCUUCCAGAGGGAUAAUCUCUUAUGACCUUAAAUACCUCUUAAAGAUUCCAGAUUCCACACCUCUCAACACCAUUAUGUUGUAGAACAAAAUCUCAACAUGAGUUUUGGCAGGUACAAACUAUAUACAAAAACCACAACAUGUUCCAACGAAAUUAUCACAUUUUCUUUAAUAUGUAAGCUAGAUAUUAGAUAGCUCCAUUUUCAUGCCAGAAGGUAUAAAAUAAGGGUCAUUAAUAAGGGUGUAUAAACAUAGUUUGUUUCUUGUAUCUGAGCUCAACUUUUCUUCGUUCCUCAUUCUUCCUCUAGGCAUGAUCAAGAUUGGGGCUCCCCACUUGCUGACUGAGACUCCUCACUUGUGCUGUUGAAGUUCUUGACCCUCUGAAGCAUGCUGUGGUUUGGACCAUGGGGGUUUGAACUUGAACCGUAGCAUGAAACAGGAAACAACAUUUUCUACUCCAGCCCAGGACUGUGACACUAUUGGGAGUAAAGAAAAAAGAGCAGCUGAUUCCAGAGAGAAUAGAGGUAUCAGGAAACUGAAUUUUAGUGCAGCAUCUUCCGAGGAGAACAGCCAGUGCAGAAUCUUCACCUGCGUGGUGACCUUCUCAUCACUGGAGACAUUCUCUGAGCUGUUUAUGUGGUAUGAAUAGUGUUAGUGAGCAAAUUGCGUAUACUGGGUCCAUUCCAACAUCCCACUAUGGCCUCUAUCUCUCCAGUAACUCUUGCUGUAUCUUUUUGGAUGUGUAGAUAUCUCCUUUGGAGUUGGCCUUAUGUUAUUCUGCCUAGUCUACAUAGGGCUCUUAUUUUGUUAGGGUUCAGAGUCAACCAAGAAAGGUUGGGCUGGAUCCCCCAAAUAGGCGUUACUUUGUGAGGAGACAACUGUCUUUGAUCAGUUAUUGAGAGGCUUUUUUUCAGGAUUCAGCUAGUUCCCUUAAAGAUGGGCUAUGAGAAUGCUCUUGAGGGAGAGAGUUUCAUGAACUCUGCAAGGGAUGUCCACAGUAUUGUGGGUUAGAGAUCCUCAGCAUCAUCACUGUCUGUUCAAAUGCCCUAUCUCAUUUCACAGGGUCUCCUUUCUCCCCAUUAUAUUAGGACCUUGCUUAAUUGCUGAUGCAGUUCUGCUAGCCUUAAAAUCUGGUUUUGCAGAAUUUCUAAUUACAGUUGAGUAAUUUGAAGUACAUUUAAAAAAUGACAAUUUAAGGAUUUCUUAGGCUGUAGGAAAAACACUAAGGAUAGUGCAGUAAAUCAAGGCUAAUACCAGAGGGGUGUUUUUCCCAACCUGGGGCUACAAGCACCUAGGAUAAGUUACAGAAAGCGGUGCAGAGGCACCUAUCAAAAGCUAUAAUUUGGGGGCCAGCACUGUGACGCAGUGGAUUAAUACUUUGGCCCGAAGUGCCAGCAUCCCAUAUGGGCACCGGUUCGAGACCCGGCUGCUCCUCUUACGAUCCAGAUCUCUGCUAUGGCCUGGGAAGGCAGUAGAAAAUGGUCCAAGUCCUUGGGCCCCUGCACCUGCAUAGGAGACUUGGAAGAACCUCUCAGCUCCUGGCUUCGGAUCGGCGCAGCUCUGGCUGUUGCGGCCAACUGGGGAGUGAACCAUUGGAUGGAAGACCUCUCUCUCUCUCUCCUCUCUCUGUGUAACUCUGACUUUCAAAUAAAUAAAUAAAUCUUUAAAAAAAAGAGCUAUAAUCUUUUGUUGAGGAAGAAUGCAGUGCAUGGUAAAUCAGCAGUGAAGGUUUCAGGAAAAAAUGCCACCACCCCACUCUCAUUUCUUUUCAACUUUAAAAAAUGUUUUCUAUUUAUUGAAACCAACUAGUGUGGGGAGCAACUCGGAGUAGACUGUUACUGGAAUUAAGACUUAUUCUAUAUAUCUGCUCUCCCACAAUAUGGCGCUGGGAGAGGAGGAAACAGCUUCUACACAGCUGCCUCCAGUUCAACCAAUAAACAGCAGGACCUGCUCCUGAUUGGAGGAGAGCAGCGUACUCGGCGUGUGGGUAGCAGAGUUGGGAUUGGUGGAAGAGGACUAUAAAGGAGGAGAGAGAUAACAUGCACCAGGAACAUCUGAGGGAACAUCUAAGAGGAACACCUGAGCAGCCCCCGAGAGAGCCGGCCGGCGGUGUGCCGCUCCCCCGCGGAAGUGGGGAAAGUGGCAGGGGGAACCGCCCUUCCACGGAGGUGGAAGGGACGGUAGCCAACCCGGGAAGAACCAGCAGCAAACCCGGGGA
Molecule: non-coding RNA, 3224 nt
Organism: Oryctolagus cuniculus (rabbit)
Lineage: Eukaryota; Metazoa; Chordata; Mammalia; Lagomorpha; Leporidae
Source: RefSeq, a predicted model, not a curated record